RNAcentral lists this microRNA precursor (122 nucleotides) under Gossypium hirsutum (cotton). RNAcentral's name for it is "MIR7504 microRNA precursor family". It matches the Rfam family "MIR7504 microRNA precursor family". The record is from Rfam by way of RNAcentral. RNAcentral also lists the same sequence under 1 other name. Lineage: Eukaryota; Viridiplantae; Streptophyta; Magnoliopsida; Malvales; Malvaceae.
AAUAGGAGAAUGACAAAUCAAAUUUUUCCUCUUGAUUUUUAGUUUUUUUCUUAUGAAAAAAUCAAAUCCAACUAAAAAUGUUAAAAAUCAGGAAGAAAAUUUUGAUUUGUCAUUAUUCUAUU